This 429-nucleotide ribosomal RNA is filed under the name bacterium. Its description in RNAcentral is "partial 16S ribosomal RNA". It matches the Rfam family "Bacterial small subunit ribosomal RNA", at positions 355 to 776 of the family's 1533-position model. The record is from RNAcentral.
UAGGGAAUCUUCCACAAUGGACGCAAGUCUGAUGGAGCAACGCCGCGUGAGUGAAGAAGGUUUUCGGAUCGUAAAGCUCUGUUGUUGGUGAAGAAGGAUAGAGGCAGUAACUGGUCUUUAUUUGACGGUAAUCAACCAGAAAGUCACGGCUAACUACGUGCCAGCAGCCGCGGUAAUACGUAGGUGGCAAGCGUUGUCCGGAUUUAUUGGGCGUAAAGCGAGCGGAGGCGGAAUGAUAAGUCUGAUGUGAAAGACCACGGCUCAACCGUGGAACUGCAUCGGAAACUGUCAUUCUUGAGUGCAGAAGAGGAGAGUGGAAUUACAUGUGUAGCGGUGGAAUGCGUAGAUAUAUGGAAGAACACCAGUGGCGAAGGCGGCUCUCUGGUCGGCAACUGACGCUGAGGCUCGAAAGCAUGGGUAGCGAACAGG